Molecule: small nuclear RNA, 82 nt
Filed under: Marmota marmota marmota (Alpine marmot)
Lineage: Eukaryota; Metazoa; Chordata; Mammalia; Rodentia; Sciuridae
Description: U4 spliceosomal RNA (ENSMMMG00000022443.1)
Rfam family: U4 spliceosomal RNA
About the family: U4 small nuclear RNA (U4 snRNA) is a component of the major U2-dependent spliceosome. The structure of U4 snRNA from yeast and human has been reported.
Source: RNAcentral
AGCUUUGUGCAGUGGCAGUAUCAUAGCCAAUGAGGUUUAUCUGAGGUGCAAUUAUUGCUAAUUGAAAAUGCUAAGCUAAGGG